GUCUACGGCCAUGCCACCCUGAACAUGUCCGAUCUUUUCUGAUCUCGGAAGCUAAGCAGGGUCGGGCCUGGUUAGUACUUGGAUGGGAGACCACGUAGGAAGACCAGGUCCUGUAGGCG
This 119-nucleotide ribosomal RNA is filed under the name Pteropus alecto (black flying fox). The record is from RNAcentral. Lineage: Eukaryota; Metazoa; Chordata; Mammalia; Chiroptera; Pteropodidae.